UACGAAGGGUGCAAGCGUUACUCGGAAUUACUGGGCGUAAAGCGUGCGUAGGUGGUUUGUUAAGUCGGAUGUGCAAUCCCCGAGCUCAACUUGGGAACUGCAUCCGAAACUGGGGAGCUAGAGUACUGGAGAGGGUGGUAGAAUUCCACGUGUAGCGGUGAAAUGCGUAGAGAUGUGGAGGAAUACCAGUGGCGAAGGCGGCCACCUGGACAGUAACUGACGCCGAGGCGCGAAAGUGUGGGUAGCAAACAGGAUUAGAAACCCUAGUAGU
Molecule: ribosomal RNA, 271 nt
Filed under: uncultured bacterium
Lineage: Bacteria
Description: partial 16S ribosomal RNA
Rfam family: Bacterial small subunit ribosomal RNA
Source: RNAcentral